GACGAACGCUGGCGGCGUGCUUAACACAUGCAAGUCGAACGGUGAACCAGAGCUUGCUCUGGGGAUCAGUGGCGAACGGGUGAGUAACACGUGGGCAACCUGCCCAGACUCUGGGAUAACUCCGGGAAACCGGAGCUAAUACCGGAUACGACUACUUCGGACAUCCGACGGUAGUGGAAAGUUUUUCGGUCUGGGAUGGGCCCGCGGCCUAUCAGCUAGUUGGUGGGGUAAUGGCCUACCAAGGCGACGACGGGUAGCCGGCCUGAGAGGGCGACCGGCCACACUGGAACUGAGACACGGUCCAGACUCCUACGGGAGGCAGCAGUGGGGAAUAUUGCACAAUGGGCGAAAGCCUGAUGCAGCGACGCCGCGUGAGGGACGACGGCCUCGGGUUGUAACCGUACUUUCUAGCAGGACGAAGCGAAAGUGACUGUACCUGCAGAAGAAGCACCGGCUAACUACGUAGCCAGCAGCCGCGGUAAU
Molecule: ribosomal RNA, 483 nt
Filed under: uncultured bacterium
Lineage: Bacteria
Description: bacterial SSU rRNA
Rfam family: Bacterial small subunit ribosomal RNA
Source: RNAcentral